UGUCUCCUCCACCUCCUCCUUUGGUGGAUUAAGCCCGAGCCGAGCUGCUCGGGCUUUUUUUC
This 62-nucleotide non-coding RNA is filed under the name Candidatus Burkholderia verschuerenii. RNAcentral's name for it is "Betaproteobacteria toxic small RNA". It matches the Rfam family "Betaproteobacteria toxic small RNA". Rfam says of the family: Overexpression in amino aid rich medium attenuates growth, suggesting role in repressing amino acid intake and metabolism. The record is from Rfam by way of RNAcentral. Lineage: Bacteria; Pseudomonadati; Pseudomonadota; Betaproteobacteria; Burkholderiales; Burkholderiaceae.